AGUGAACGCUGGCGGUAGGCCUAACACAUGCAAGUCGAACGGCAGCACAGUAAGAGCUUGCUCUUACGGGUGGCGAGUGGCGGACGGGUGAGGAAUACAUCGGAAUCUACUUUUUCGUGGGGGAUAACGUAGGGAAACUUACGCUAAACCGCAUACGACCUACGGGUGAAAGCAGGGGAUCUUCGGACCUUGCGCGAUUGAAUGAGCCGAUGUCGGAUUAGCUAGUUGGCGGGGUAAAGGCCCACCAAGGCGACGAUCCGUAGCUGGUCUGAGAGGAUGAUCAGCCACACUGGAACUGAGACACGGUCCAGACUCCUACGGGAGGCAGCAGUGGGGAAUAUUGGACAAUGGGCGCAAGCCUGAUCCAGCCAUACCGCGUGGGUGAAGAAGGCCUUCGGGUUGUAAAGCUCUUUUGUUGGGAAAGAAAAGCAGCAGGUUAAUACCCCGCUGUUCUGACGGUACCCAAAGAAUAAGCACCGGCUAACUUCGUG
Molecule: ribosomal RNA, 491 nt
Filed under: uncultured bacterium
Lineage: Bacteria
Description: partial 16S ribosomal RNA
Rfam family: Bacterial small subunit ribosomal RNA
Source: RNAcentral